GAUGAACGCUGGCGGCGUGCCUAAUACAUGCAAGUCGAGCGAACGGACGAGAAGCUUGCUUCUCUGAUGUUAGCGGCGGACGGGUGAGUAACACGUGGAUAACCUACCUAUAAGACUGGGAUAUCUUCGGGAAACCGGAGCUAAUACCGGAUAAUAUUUUGAACCGCAUGGUUCAAAAGUGAAAGACGGUCUUGCUGUCACUUAUAGAUGGAUCCGUGCUGCAUUAGCUAGUUGGUAAGGUAACGGCUUACCAAGGCGACAAUGCAUAGCCGACCUGAGAAGGUGUAGGGCGCCAGUGAGAGUGGACCGCGGUCCAGGCUCCGACGGAAGGCAGAGACAGGGAAGCGACGGAGAUGGGGGGAAGCCUGACGGAGCAGCGCCACGUGAGUGAUGAGGGGCUGCGGGGCGGAUGACUCUGUUAUUGGUGUAAAACAUAUUUGUAAGUAACGAAGCACAUCGUGACGGUACCUAGUCAGAAAGCCACGGCUAACUACGUG
Molecule: ribosomal RNA, 497 nt
Filed under: uncultured bacterium
Lineage: Bacteria
Description: partial 16S ribosomal RNA
Rfam family: Bacterial small subunit ribosomal RNA
Source: RNAcentral